GACGAACGCUGGCGGCGUGCUUAACACAUGCAAGUCGAACGGGGUGUUUAUUUCGGUAAACACCAAGUGGCGAACGGGUGAGUAACGCGUAAGCAAUCUACCUUCAAGAUGGGGACAACACUUCGAAAGGGGUGCUAAUACCGAAUGAAUGUAAGAGUAUCGCAUGAGACACUUACUAAAGGAGGCCUCUGAAAAUGCUUCCGCUUGAAGAUGAGCUUGCGUCUGAUUAGCUAGUUGGUGAGGGUAAAGGCCCACCAAGGCGACGAUCAGUAGCCGGUCUGAGAGGAUGAACGGCCACAUUGGGACUGAGACAGGGCCCAGACUCCUACGGGAGGCAGCAGUGGGGAAUCUUCGCAAUGGGCGAAAGCCUGACGGAGCAACGCCGCGUGAACGA
Molecule: ribosomal RNA, 394 nt
Filed under: uncultured bacterium
Lineage: Bacteria
Description: bacterial SSU rRNA
Rfam family: Bacterial small subunit ribosomal RNA
Source: RNAcentral